RNAcentral lists this non-coding RNA (84 nucleotides) under Candidatus Accumulibacter sp. BA-94. RNAcentral's name for it is "Betaproteobacteria toxic small RNA". It matches the Rfam family "Betaproteobacteria toxic small RNA". From Rfam's summary of the family: Overexpression in amino aid rich medium attenuates growth, suggesting role in repressing amino acid intake and metabolism. Lineage: Bacteria; Pseudomonadati; Pseudomonadota; Betaproteobacteria. The record is from Rfam by way of RNAcentral.
UGUCUCCUCCAUCCUCCUCCUUUGGUGUGGAUUUAGCGCGGCUAUGUGGAUUUAGCGCGGCUCCCACGAGCCGCGCUUUUUUUU